RNAcentral lists this transfer RNA (73 nucleotides) under Thelohanellus kitauei. Its description in RNAcentral is "tRNA-Val for anticodon UAC". It matches the Rfam family "tRNA". From Rfam's summary of the family: Transfer RNA (tRNA) molecules are approximately 80 nucleotides in length. Their secondary structure includes four short double-helical elements and three loops (D, anti-codon, and T loops). Lineage: Eukaryota; Metazoa; Cnidaria; Myxozoa; Bivalvulida; Myxobolidae. The record is from Rfam by way of RNAcentral.
GGUUCAGUGGCGUAGUGGUUAUCGCGUGUGCUUUACACGCACAAGGUCCCCGGUUCGAUCCCGGGCUGGACUA